Molecule: non-coding RNA, 1930 nt
Organism: Microcebus murinus (gray mouse lemur)
Lineage: Eukaryota; Metazoa; Chordata; Mammalia; Primates; Cheirogaleidae
Source: RefSeq, a predicted model, not a curated record
UACAGUGAAAACUUGAAGAGAAAGCCAAAGUAAAUUUCUUUUUAACUGAACAAAACGAGUCAUAGGUAUUAUAUUAAAACACUUGAAGUAUCUGUAAUGAAAUGUUUUUAACUAAAUGGGCAUAGUUGCUCAAGUCUCUCUCUUUUUUUUAACAUAAGCAAACAAACAAAAAGAAAUUUGAACAAUUAGAAUUAGUUGCCUGGUUAAAAUAUUGAUUAUAGUCAUCAUCUUUUAACUUACACUAAAAUUAAUAAAAGUUUUUCUAAGAUAGGUCUAGGAGCCAUUGUUCUACAAUAUGGUUUGAGUAAGAACACACAAUAAAUACUCCUUUGGAAGUUUUUGUGAACUUAAAAAAACUACACAGCUAACCUUGAUGUCUAAUAUUGCCACUAACAGCAACUUCCUAUAACCAUUUAAAGCAUAAUUUUUGUCUGGUAAAGUAAGCACUUAAGUUUGAAUUUUCCCAGGAGAGAGCAGAGUACUAAGAAUGGAGAAAUAGGACUGGUAAAUUUUGGAAGAAAAGAAAAGACAACAAAAGAUGUUGAGCAUGAAUUGGCAUUCACAGUUAAGGGAGGGCUUAGGCAGCUGGAAACCCUAGAUGGGCAGUAAGACAUGAGAUAUGAAAGUACUAAAAAAAGGAGAAAAAUGAAUGGGGUAAUGUUUUCACAUCUACAUACAUAUGCAUAUCUUUAUGCAUGGGUAAAAUUGACCCCCUCCUUGUGUGAUUUAAUAUGUAGAACCUCUAAAAGUCUUCUUGACCAAAAAAUAUCUCUUCCAACUUUCCUCCAGGGUUGCCUGAAAUUCUCAUUAUAUUGAUUUUUGGGGAAUGAAAGCAAGGAUGGUCCUGCCCUUGUCUUCUAGCCACCCUACAAGCAUUUUGUUACAAGGGAACAGAGGGAAUGAUCAUUGAAAACAUCUUGCCAAAUGGUGCCAGAUGCUUUGUAUGUUUUAUGGCAUUUAAUCCAUUUUAUCUUCACAUAGAGCUGAGGAAAUGAAGGCUCAUCUUCCAAACAACUUGUCCAAGAUCAUAAGACACUUUGGCUCUGGGUAGCUUUUGAAGAUGUUAGAACAGCAACUCCAUGACUUUUGAAGGAUGUCAAAGUGGAUGCUGGACAGGGUGAGAACUGCAUCAAGCCUUCUACCUUCUCAGGCCCUGCAAACUCUAGCUGGACUGGUGCCAACUGACUAAUCUGAUAAACUAAUCUGGUGAUGGCAGAAGAUGAAAAACACCCAAACAGGAAAAGAUUCCGUCUGUAUAUUACCAGUAGCAGAAAUUUCUGAGCUGGUGGCUAUUCAUUGCUUCUCUAAACAUACUCUUUGGAGUGUUGCCACAUUACGACUGACACUGAGAAAACUACACUCCUUUGUUGUGCUCCAGGCUUUCUCCAGAGAGCUCAGCAUUCCCUGCUGUGGUCUGGGUCAUACGUUGGGUACUGCCCCUACUUCUCCUUUCUUAGGGGAUUUUAGUCAUAAAGCAUUUGAAUGAACUAAUGCCUUUGUCUCUGAGACUCCAGAGAAUCUGAGCAUAAUUAUUACCCAUACCUCUGUGUUAUCUCUGAAGAUUUCCACCACAGUUAUCCUUCCCUCUGAGGUAAGGAAUUUGUUUUGAUUUUUCUUUCAACCAGAAACAACCCAGCAUGUUCAAAGAUUUGCUCAAUUGGAUUCAAAGGUAAACAGUCCUCUGAUCCUUUCUGAAAGAGUUCAAGAGUUUACAGCCUAUUUUAACUGAGGUGAGAUGAUAUCUCAAUGUGGUUUUGAUUUGUAUUUCACCAAUGAUUAGCCAGUUAAAAUGGCUGUUGUCAAAAAGACAGAAAAUAGCAAAUGCUGGUGAGAAUGCAGAAAAAGGGGAACACUCGAGCACUGUUGGUACAGCCAUUAUGGAAAACAGUAUGGAGGUUUCUCAAAAACCCUACAAAAUAGAAUUGCCAUA